This is an RNA transcript of Cygnus olor (mute swan), 5338 nucleotides long. It is a transcript of the gene named zinc finger CCCH-type containing 12B, with no coding region annotated. The transcript is spliced from 14 exons. Lineage: Eukaryota; Metazoa; Chordata; Aves; Anseriformes; Anatidae. The record is from RefSeq and is a predicted model, not a curated record.
CGGGCAGCGGCGCUGGCCCGGCGGAGGCGCGGGCAGGGAUGAGGCGGAGGCAGCGGCCCCCGCGCUCCCGCCGCCGCUGAGCCCGCUCCCGCCCCGUCCCGCCCGGGCCUCGCUGCCCGCUCCCCCCGCUCCUCUCCCCUCGCUCCAGCCUGCCCUCCCCCCUCCAUGCGGCGGGAGCGGCCGGAGUGGGGCCCGUGCCGCGGCCGCGCCGAGCCCCGCCGCCUCUCGACUCUCCGCCGCCAGCCGCCGCAGGGAGCCGCAGGCGGCGUCUGCAGCGACAACAGCGGGAACUUCAUGUUGGCGUUGUUUAUGCCAGAACAUAGUAAGCAAGGCAUAGCUCCAGACUUGUGUAAACUUUUAUCUAGCCAACACGACGCAAUUGAGUAUGAAUUCCAGGUUGCUCUGGAAAUGAAAGAGAAGUUCUGAGCUCUCUGGCUGGAAGCUGAACGUGAUGACGGCCUGGUCUAUGGUAGGGAAGCUGAAAAUGGAGAAGAGGCACUCCAGAGAAGACAGAAACGUGGAACAAGAUGCUGGGGAAUGCAGUGCUGAAUCCGAGGAAUGGACGAGCUCAGAAAGUGAACCUGAGCAACCAUACUUCAGAAGAAGCUGUAGCAAUAUUCAGUGGAGAGAAAAGGAGGUUUCCACUAAACCACAUCGGCCACUCUGUCGCUCCCCGUGUUUGGAUCGCCCAAGUUUUUCACAGAGCAGUAUCACACAAGACCUGAAGCUAGAUGAAUGCAAAACAAGUUUGGACAAGGAAUAUCAAGCUAAAAUGGAUUUUGCUUUAAAACUUGGUUAUGCAGGAGAUCAGAUCCAGGCUGUACUGAAUAAAUUGGGAGCAGAUGCGCUCAUCAAUGAUGUUCUGGCCGAACUUGUGAGACUUGGCAACAAAAAUGAAUCAGAGGGACAGAACAGUGCCAGCAGUACCACUAGCACUCUGGUGCCAAGAGGCCCUUGUCCAAAGGAAAUAGCAAGCCCUGAAUUGUCACUUGAAGAUGAAGUUUUGGAUAACAGUGAUAACUUGAGGCCAAUCGUCAUUGAUGGAAGUAAUGUGGCUAUGAGCCAUGGAAAUAAGGAAGGAUUUUCCUGUCGGGGAAUCCAACUAGCUGUUGAUUGGUUUCUGGAAAAAGGACAUAAAGAUAUCACUGUGUUUGUACCUGCAUGGAGAAAAGAACAGUCUCGACCUGAUGCACCAAUUACAGAUCAAGAAAUCUUACGUAAAUUGGAGAAAGAAAAAAUUCUUGUUUUCACCCCAUCUCGAAGAGUUCAAGGAAGAAGAGUAGUUUGCUAUGAUGACCGAUUCAUAGUAAAACUUGCUUUUGACUCAGAUGGCAUCAUUGUAUCAAAUGACAACUAUAGGGAUCUUCAAAACGAAAAACCAGAGUGGAAGAAGUUCAUAGAGGAGCGACUGCUAAUGUAUUCUUUUGUGAAUGACAAAUUUAUGCCUCCUGAUGAUCCUUUAGGACGCCAUGGUCCAAGCCUUGAAAAUUUCUUAAGGAAAAGGCCAGUUAUUCCUGAACAUAAAAAACAACCGUGUCCUUAUGGUAAAAAGUGCACCUAUGGGCACAAAUGUAAAUAUUACCACCCAGAACGGGCAAACCAGCCUCAAAGGUCAGUAGCGGAUGAGCUUCGGAUAAGUGCCAAAUUAUCUGCUGUGAAAACUAUGAGUGAGGGAGCCUUGGCCAAAUGUGGCACAGGGCCAUCCAGCUCCAAAGGAGAGAGCAGUUCUGAAGUGAAACGCAUUGCCCCAAAACGCCAGUCAGAUCCAAGCAUUAGAUCAGUAGCUGUGGAGCCUGAGGAAAAGUUAACAGUAGCCCGCAAGUCCGAGGCCAGCUCUGUCCCGUCUCUGGUUUCUGCAUUAAGUGUACCAACGCUCCCUCCACCAAAAAGCCAUGCAGCUGGUGCAUUAAAUACUCGUUCUGCAAGCAGUCCGGUGCCAGGUUCCUCACAGUUCACGCAUCAGAAAUCCUCACUGGAACACAUGUCCAGUGUGCAAUAUCCUCCUAUACUAGUCACCAAUAGCCAUGGCACCUCAGUUAGUUAUACUGACCAGUAUCCCAAAUACGAAUCGUUAGGGGACCAUGGCUAUUAUUCCUUACUCAGUGAUUUCUCCAACUUGAGCGUAAGUAGUAUGCAUAACACAGAUUAUUACGGGGCUGAUACGGACCAGGGGAUGUAUUCUAGAAACUCAAGCCCCUGUCCUGACAAUUGCUUAAGCCAUACAAGUAAUGAUUCUUAUUCCUCUUACAAUGACUUGUAUCUGGGUGUAGCAGAUGCCAGUCCAGAAGACAAUGUGAAGAUCCACAGACUGCCAUCGCAAAAUCGUCUUCAGCCUUUUUCCCAUGGUUACCAUGAAGCCUUAAAUAGAGUUCAGAGUUACGGAACUGAAGAGCCUAAACAAUCCCUUCGCAAACAGUCAGUUUCCCACUUAGGCCUGCAUGCCCAGCAUCCAGUUGUUGGAGCACGGUCCAGUUGUCCAGGAGAAUACCCUGUGCCUCAAAAUAUUCAUCCAUCAACUGCACAACCAAGCCGUGCCUUGGUCAUGACAAGAAUGGACAGUAUUUCUGACUCACGGCUUUAUGAAAGUAAUCCUGCACGGCAGAGAAGACCACCUCUCUGUCGAGAACAGCAUGCUAGUUGGGAUCCGUUACCAUGUGCAUCAGACUCUUACACUUACCACUCGUAUCCAUUGAGUAACAACCUCAUCCAGCCAUGUUAUGAACCUGUAAUGGUAAGAAGCAUGCCUGAGAAGAUGGAGCAACUCUGGCGGAAUCCAUGGAUUGGGAAUUGCCUGUCAACUGUGCAGUGAACAGCUGCUGUUCCAGAUGAUUAGAGAAGACAAAAGAAAAUUGUCAGUUUUAUGUAAAUUGGAUUACUCAGACUCAAGCAACAGGAACUGAAUGUUAAUGUGGAAGCUCAUCAGUAACUAAGCCCUUCUGGAGGCAAGAAUGGUAUUUGGGUGAAACUAACAUGCAAGAUCUUGAGAAGGGAGUGUGAGAGGCUGGUUCUUGAAAAGAGAUGCUACAGUUCGGGCUUGUAGCAAGGUUGGCCUCGUUUUGCUCUUCAGCUCCACGCAAAGGUGUGCAUUUGCCUCAUGAUGGUUUCUAGAGUCCUGUUUCAACAGGCUAUAAAGCUCCAAAUACAGUUAGGUUAAAAGAAGUUGCACAAAGAAAUGAAACCCACAACUUAAACAUUCCCAUGUUUGCUCUCCAAGUAGCCAGAACUAGGUGCUCCAGAAGACAGCAUAAACUUGGCAGAGCAUUCUCCAAGUCGAGGAAGGGUCCAAAGUCAAGCUGAAAUCUAUAUACUUCCGCUAAGCCUUGAGACAGGUAGACUGAGCAUUUCCCUGUAACCGUGGCUGUUCUGUGUGACUCGCCGCUUCCUUUUAUCACCCAGGAAGGAAGGACCCCUUCUAAUUUGUUGUAAGCAAUGGAAUCGUAAGUCCUGGGAAGUAAAACCUGGAGAAUAUUACCUGAAAUAUGGUUAGUGCAAAAGGCCCCAGGACUGCAGAACAAAAGUACAUUCCCAGAAGAGAAAGAUAACAGCAGUAAUUAUAAUGAGCAGCUCUCAGAUUUGAAGAGAGUAAAAAAUGAAGGAGAUGAAUACAGAGGUCUGUGCUGCCUAUAUUCCCUCAGGUCAGAAGGAUGACUGUUACACCUUCAUGAAGUAACUUCCUACCACACUGAACGCUUAUCUCUGGAAUGCUUACUAGCUGCACAAUGAAGACCAGCUGACAGAAGACUUCAAAAGAUAAGACACUCCAGAGAGCCAGCGAUAAUUACACGUACUAUUUGAGACCCCUGAAAAUCCAUGCACAAGUGGUCAGCAGCAUGGAAUUAAGAUGCAACUAGUGACUAAGGCUCAGAAAGCCACCAUUUAUAUUUGUUUGAUAUCUUCAUUGUGGAAAAGAAACUAGAGAGAGUUCAUUACCUCAGUAACAAUUACGGAUAUGGGCAGAGAUGCACGCUUUGAAAGGCAUUUUGGCCAAGUAGCAUUCAGUGUGGAAGAGCUAUCCUUCCAUGCUAUUCUUUGAACUACAGUUAGUCUGACAACAUUGAAUUCUCCAGCUAAAGGACCCAUCUGCUACUAGGCUGGCUUAAUACAAGAGGGAAACUGAGGACACCCACCCAGGUAAGCUGAACUGAUGCUUGAAAGUAAAACACAACAAAAUGGACAAAAAUAAAAUUCCCACUGCCUCCAUAUACAGCCAUAUGCUUGAGUUAUUCCAUUCAUGUUUCCAUCUUCUAUCCAUGAGCUUUUCUAUCCAAGCAAAGAUACAGUGCUAAAGUAAACACUUCUCAGAAUAAACAGCCAUUUUCAGGCACUGAACUAAUUCCACAGAAACAACUGCUGAAGCCAUUAGCAUCACUGGAUUUGGAAUGGUAGUACCCGUAUCAAACAUGGCAUAUUUUGGUAUAGAAUGGGUGAGAAGAUUUGUCUCCUCCAAAAGGGAUGAUUUCCAAAUCUAAACAUGCAGGUAUGACUUAGAUCUGAUGUAUGUUUUUAUAGGUACAAACAGAAGCUGAAGAGCUGUGAGUGCAGAAGAAAACACACACACACCACGCCACUUUGUCACUAGUAGAUAAUGUGCUGGGAGAUCAGAAGGCAGGCAGCAGAAUGUAAUUUGUUUCUGAGAACAAAAUCAAGAAUUAAUCCUUCUCUUUUCUAGAAACUGUUCCAGGAUAAUUAUCAUUAUUCCUACAUGCAAUGACGGCUCAUCACCAACUAUUUAAGGCUAUAUCCAUGCAGACAGUAGCUUCAGUAGAGAGCCAUCUAAGUAGAAGAACGUGACUAAGAAAGGUCCACUGGGUAAGUUCUCUGAAGCAGACAGCAGAGGAUUCUUUGCAGUUAGCUCAUAGUGCUUUAGUGUUAAAGGAAUCUUCUGCCCUCUGAACAGUACAAAUUACAGGAUAUGUUGAUAGUGGAAACAAAAGGUUUUAUCCACAAAUGCAUAGGUAUUCUAAAUUAGAAAACUACUUUCGUAGGUCGCUUGACAUAUUCAAGAGAACUCAUAAGCUCUGUUAUCCCCGAGUCCAUAAUCCAAGUCUCCAAACGUAAUGAAGUCACAAAAUUGUCAAUACAUUCCACAUCAGCUUUCCUCCCUCCCCAGCUAGUCUAUUUCCCAGGAGUGAAAGAUCAAAAGAAAAAAAAAAAUCUCUCUUAAAUGAAAGCAAAAAGCUCUCAGGGUCUUUAAUUUAAACAUCUUCAGAAAUACAAGAGACUGCUGGAACAACUCCAUCUUCAGCUGAGAAGGAAAUCACCAUCAGUCAGUUCUCCAGAAAACUCUUCAGAAAUCUUCACAGAGGCCACUGAGGAACCACAAACCCAGCUGCAUUCA